RNAcentral lists this ribosomal RNA (433 nucleotides) under uncultured bacterium. RNAcentral describes it as "partial 16S ribosomal RNA". It matches the Rfam family "Bacterial small subunit ribosomal RNA", at positions 29 to 507 of the family's 1533-position model. The record is from RNAcentral.
AACGAACGCUGGCGGCAUGCCUAACACAUGCAAGUCGAACGAGACCUCCGGGUCUAGUGGCGCACGGCUGCGUAACGCGGGGGAAGCUGCCCUUAGGUUCGGAAUAACUCCCCGAAAGGGGUGCUAAUACCGGAGAAUCUCUUCCGACCUAAGAUCUAUGGCCUCUGGAUGGGCGCGCGUUGGAUUAGCGAGUUGGUAGUGUAAAAGCCUAGCAAGGCGAUGAUCCAUAGCUGGUCGGAGAGGAGGAUCAGCCACGCUGGGAAUGAGACACGGCCCAGAAUCGUACGGAAGGCAGGAGAGGGGAAUAUUGGACGAGGGGGGAAAGCGUGAUACAGCAGUGCCGGGUGAGUGAUGCAGGGCGUAGGGUUGUAAAGCUGUUUUAGCCGAGAUGAUAAUGACGGUAACGGGUAAAUAAGCGCCGGCUAACUCCGUG